AGAGUUUGAUCAUGGCUCAGAUUGAACGCUGGCGGCAGGCCUAACACAUGCAAGUCGAGCGGUAGAGAGAAGCUUGCUUCUCUUGAGAGCGGCGGACGGGUGAGUAAUGCCUAGGAAUCUGCCUGGUAGUGGGGGAUAACGCUCGGAAACGGACGCUAAUACCGCAUACGUCCUACGGGAGAAAGCAGGGGACCUUCGGGCCUUGCGCUAUCAGAUGAGCCUAGGUCGGAUUAGCUAGUUGGUGAGGUAAUGGCUCACCAAGGCGACGAUCCGUAACUGGUCUGAGAGGAUGAUCAGUCACACUGGAACUGAGACACGGUCCAGACUCCUACGGGAGGCAGCAGUGGGGAAUAUUGGACAAUGGGCGAAAGCCUGAUCCAGCCAUGCCGCGUGUGUGAAGAAGGUCUUCGGAUUGUAAAGCACUUUAAGUUGGGAGGAAGGGCAUUAACCUAAUACGUUAGUGUUUUGACGUUACCGACAGAAUAAGCACCGGCUAACUCUGUGCCAGCAGCCGCGGUAAUACAGAGGGUGCAAGCGUUAAUCGGAAUUACUGGGCGUAAAGCGCGCGUAGGUGGUUCGUUAAGUUGGAUGUGAAAUCCCCGGGCUCAACCUGGGAACUGCAUUCAAAACUGACGAGCUAGAGUAUGGUAGAGGGUGGUGGAAUUUCCUGUGUAGCGGUGAAAUGCGUAGAUAUAGGAAGGGACACCAGUGGCGAAGGCGACCACCUGGACUGAUACUGACACUGAGGUGCGAAAGCGUGGGGAGCAAACAGGAUUAGAUACCCUGGUAGUCCACGCCGUAAACGAUGUCAACUAGCCGUUGGGAGCCUUGAGCUCUUAGUGGCGCAGCUAACGCAUUAAGUUGACCGCCUGGGGAGUACGGCCGCAAGGUUAAAACUCAAAUGAAUUGACGGGGGCCCGCACAAGCGGUGGAGCAUGUGGCUUAAUUCGAAGCAACGCGAAGAACCUUACCAGGCCUUGACAUCCAAUGAACUUUCCAGAGAUGGAUUGGUGCCUUCGGGAACAUUGAGACAGGUGCUGCAUGGCUGUCGUCAGCUCGUGUCGCGAGAUGUUGGGUUAAGUCCCGUAACGAGCGCAACCCUUGUCCUUAGUUACCAGCACGUAAUGGUGGGCACUCUAAGGAGACUGCCGGUGACAAACCGGAGGAAGGUGGGGAUGACGUCAAGUCAUCAUGGCCCUUACGGCCUGGGCUACACACGUGCUACAAUGGUCGGUACAGAGGGUUGCCAAGCCGCGAGGUGGAGCUAAUCCCACAAAACCGAUCGUAGUCCGGAUCGCAGUCUGCAACUCGACUGCGUGAAGUCGGAAUCGCUAGUAAUCGCGAAUCAGAAUGUCGCGGUGAAUACGUUCCCGGGCCUUGUACACACCGCCCGUCACACCAUGGGAGUGGGUUGCACCAGAAGUAGCUAGUCUAACCUUCGGGAGGACGGUUACCACGGUGUGAUUCAUGACUGGGGUGAAGUCGAAACAAGGUAGCCGUAGGGGAACCUGCGGCUG
RNAcentral lists this ribosomal RNA (1517 nucleotides) under metagenome. RNAcentral describes it as "bacterial SSU rRNA". It matches the Rfam family "Bacterial small subunit ribosomal RNA". The record is from RNAcentral.